Molecule: ribosomal RNA, 726 nt
Filed under: uncultured bacterium
Lineage: Bacteria
Description: bacterial SSU rRNA
Rfam family: Bacterial small subunit ribosomal RNA
Source: RNAcentral
AGAUUCACUUCGGUGAUGACGCUGGGAACGCGAGCGGCGGAUGGGUGAGUAACACGUGGGUAACCUGCCCUAAAGUCUGGGAUACCACUUGGAAACAGGUGCUAAUACCGGAUAACAACAAUAGCUGCAUGGCUAUUGCUUAAAAGGCGGCGAAGGCUGUCGCUAAAGGAUGGACCCGCGGUGCAUUAGCUAGUUGGUAAGGUAAUGGCUUACCAAGGCGACGAUGCAUAGCCGAGUUGAGAGACUGAUCGGCCACAUUGGGACUGAGACACGGCCCAAACUCCUACGGGAGGCAGCAGUAGGGAAUCUUCCACAAUGGGCGAAAGCCUGAUGGAGCAACGCCGCGUGAGUGAAGAAGGUUUUCGGAUCGUAAAGCUCUGUUGUUGGUGAAGAAGGAUAGAGGUAGUAACUGGCCCCUAUUUGACGGUAAUCAACCAGAAAGUCACGGCUAACUACGUGCCAGCAGCCGCGGUAAUACGUAGGUGGCAAGCGUUGUCCGGAUUUAUUGGGCGUAAAGCGAGCGCAGGCGGAAAGAUAAGUCUGAUGUGAAAGCCCCCGGCUUAACCGAGGAAUUGCAUCGGAAACUGUGUUUCUUGAGUGCAGAAGAGGAGAGUGGAACUCCAUGUGUAGCGGUGGAAUGCGUAGAUAUAUGGAAGAACACCAGUGGCGAAGGCGGCUCUCUGGUCUGUAACUGACGCUGAGGCUCGAAAGCAUGGGUAGCGAACA